UACGGGGGGAGCAAGCGUUGUUCGGAUUUACUGGGCGUAAAGGGCGCGUAGGCGGUCGUGACAAGUCACUUGUGAAAUCUCCGGGCUUAACUCGGAACGGUCAAGUGAUACUGUCGGACUAGAGUACAGAAGGGGCAACUGGAAUUCUCGGUGUAGCGGUGAAAUGCGUAGAUAUCGAGAGGAACACCUGCGGCGAAGGCGGGUUGCUGGGCCGAUACUGACGCUGAGGAGCGAAAGCGUGGGGGAGCGAACAGG
This 255-nucleotide ribosomal RNA is filed under the name uncultured bacterium. RNAcentral's name for it is "partial 16S ribosomal RNA". It matches the Rfam family "Bacterial small subunit ribosomal RNA", at positions 524 to 776 of the family's 1533-position model. The record is from RNAcentral.